Mastomys coucha (southern multimammate mouse) is the source of this 463-nucleotide long non-coding RNA. RefSeq lists it as uncharacterized. The record is from RefSeq and is a predicted model, not a curated record. NCBI's taxonomy places the organism in Eukaryota, Metazoa, Chordata, Mammalia, Rodentia, Muridae. The transcript has 3 exons.
GCCUCUACCCUCAGCCUGGUCAAAACCAGAGGGAGGGGUCACAGAGCCCUCACCCCCUCUUUCUGCAGCUAAGGAACCUGAGGCAUGGGGUGUCUGGAGACGGGAGCAGAGCAUUGGGACCUCCGGUGAGUCGGGGACAUCUUGGCCCAACAUGGAGGUCCCGGGGCCCCCGGUAUCCGGGAAGCCAGGGGAGACGUCGGUCAAAUGGCAGCUGUGCUACGACAUGACUGCGAAGAUGUGGUGGAUGGUCUUGCCUUAGCAUGUGAGUCUGUCUUAGCAAAACUCCACACGAGUCUAUAUCAACUGACAAUUUCCUGCCAAUCAGCCUGAGUCUGCCGAAGAGGCAAGAAGCCACCAGCGCACCACCAGAAGUUUUUUGGUUCAUUUCUCUUAUGGAGUCUCAACAAAUGGAGCCCAACUACUCAAUGUAAGGCACUAAUAAAUACAUGCAUGCUGUUAGUGA